CCCUUGGCCGCCCAGACAUUCUCCUCGUGUCCGGAGGCGUCAUCCCUCCCCAGGAUUAUGACUUCUUGUAUGCCUCUGGUGUUUCCAAAAUAUUUGGCCCUGGAACCCGAAUCCCAAAAGCAGCUGUCCAGGUUCUUGAUAUCGAGAAAUGCUUGGAAAUGAGGCAGCAAUCUCUGUAAACCUCUGUCUCAUAACAAACUUUAUAUCUUAUAGUUUGUGUUGAUGCAUUGUGAUUUGUUGAUAAAAUUGUUAAAUCAUCUACAA
Molecule: long non-coding RNA, 264 nt
Organism: Podarcis raffonei (Aeolian wall lizard)
Lineage: Eukaryota; Metazoa; Chordata; Lepidosauria; Squamata; Lacertidae
Exons: 2
Source: RefSeq, a predicted model, not a curated record